AGUGAACGCUGGCGGUAGGCCUAACACAUGCAAGUCGAACGGCAGCACAGUAAGAGCUUGCUCUUACGGGUGGCGAGUGGCGGACGGGUGAGGAAUACAUCGGAAUCUACUUUUUCGUUGGGGAUAACGUGGGGAAACUUACGCUAAUACCGCAUACGACCUACGGGUGAAAGCAGGGGAUCUUCGGACCUUGCGCGAUUGAAUGAGCCGAUGUCGGAUUAGCUAGUUGGCGGGGUAAAGGCCCACCAAGGCGACGAUCCGUAGCUGGUCUGAGAGGAUGAUCAGCCACACUGGAACUGAGACACGGUCCAGACGCCUACGGGAGGCAGCAGUGGGGAAUAUUGGACAAUGGGCGCAAGCCUGAUCCAGCCAUACCGCGUGGGUGAAGAAGGCCUUCGGGUUGUAAAGCCCUUUUGUUGGGAAAGAAAAGCAGCAGGUUAAUACCCCGCUGUUCUGACGGUACCCAAAGAAUAAGCACCGGCUAACUUCGUG
RNAcentral lists this ribosomal RNA (492 nucleotides) under uncultured bacterium. RNAcentral describes it as "partial 16S ribosomal RNA". It matches the Rfam family "Bacterial small subunit ribosomal RNA", at positions 29 to 507 of the family's 1533-position model. The record is from RNAcentral.